Molecule: ribosomal RNA, 538 nt
Filed under: Surirella sp.1 ECR-2011
Lineage: Eukaryota; Bacillariophyta; Bacillariophyceae; Surirellales; Surirellaceae
Description: eukaryotic LSU rRNA
Rfam family: Eukaryotic large subunit ribosomal RNA
Source: RNAcentral
UACCCGCUGAAUUUAAGCAUAUAAAUAAGCAGAGGAAAAGUAACUAACUAGGAUUGGUUUAGUAACGGCGAGUGAAGUUCCAAUUGCCCAAUCUGUGAAUUGAUACUUGUAUCAAAUUGUGGAAUGUUGGUUGAUCUGUUCAAUCUGUAAACCAAGUCCCCUGGAAUGGGGCAGCAAAGAGGGUGAGACUCCCGUACGUUUGCGGAUGUGAAGGUCAACCUAAGAGUCGAGUUGUUUGGGAUUGCAGCUCAAAGUGGGUGGUAAAUUCCAUCUAAGGCAAAAUAUUGGCAAGAGACCGAUAGUGUACAAGUACCGUGAGGGAAAGAUGCAAAGCCGCGCGAGAGCGCUGUCAAAGAGUACCUGAAAUUGCUGAAAAGGAAGCGAAGGGAACCAGUGUUAGCCAACCUGCACUUCCCCCAAUGCUUGCAUUAGGGGCGCUGCAGCUGGUGUUAUUUGGCUUUACGGUCGCAGUAGAAGAUGAUGAUACUGCAUUCUGUUGAGUCAAAUGAAAUGGUUCUCUUUUUCCCGUCUUGAAACA